This 379-nucleotide ribosomal RNA is filed under the name uncultured eukaryote. Its description in RNAcentral is "partial 18S ribosomal RNA". It matches the Rfam family "Eukaryotic small subunit ribosomal RNA", at positions 592 to 976 of the family's 1831-position model. The record is from RNAcentral.
CAAUAGCGUAUAUUAAAGUUGUUGCAGUUAAAAAGCUCGUAGUUGAACUUCAGACCUGGCUGAGCGGUCUGCCUUCUGGUAUGUACUGUUCGGCUGGGUCUUACCUCUUGGUGAGCCGGCAUGCUCUUUACUGGGUGUGUCGGGGAACCAGGACUUUUACCUUGAGAAAAUUAGAGUGUUCAAAGCAGGCUUAUGCCCGAAUACAUUAGCAUGGAAUAAUAAAAUAGGACGUGCGGUUCUAUUUUGUUGGUUUCUAGAGUCGCCGUAAUGAUUAAUAGGGAUAGUUGGGGGCAUUAGUAUUCCGUUGCUAGAGGUGAAAUUCUUGGAUUUACGGAAGACUAACUAUUGCGAAAGCAUUUGCCAAGGAUGUUUUCAUUAA